RNAcentral lists this transfer RNA (75 nucleotides) under Luteolibacter sp. RNAcentral's name for it is "tRNA-Trp". It matches the Rfam family "tRNA". Rfam says of the family: Transfer RNA (tRNA) molecules are approximately 80 nucleotides in length. Their secondary structure includes four short double-helical elements and three loops (D, anti-codon, and T loops). The record is from RNAcentral. Lineage: Bacteria; Pseudomonadati; Verrucomicrobiota; Verrucomicrobiia; Verrucomicrobiales; Verrucomicrobiaceae. RNAcentral also lists the same sequence under 2 other names.
ACGGCAGUAGUUCAAUGGUAGAGCACCGGUCUCCAAAACCGGGUGUUGUAGGUUCGAGUCCUACCUGCCGUGCCA